GAUGAACGCUGGCGGCAUGCCUAAUACAUGCAAGUCGAACGAAGUCUUCAGGAAGCUUGCUUCCAAAGAGACUUAGUGGCGAACGGGUGAGUAACACGUAGGUAACCUGCCCAUGUGUCUGGGAUAACUGCUGGAAACGGUAGCUAAAACCGGAUAGGUAUACGGAGCGCAUGCUCUGUAUAUUAAAGCGCCCCUCAAGGCGUGAACAUGGAUGGACCUGCGGCGCAUUAGCUAGUUGGUGAGGUAACGGCCCACCAAGGCGAUGAUGCGUAGCCGGCCUGAGAGGGUAAACGGCCACAUUGGGACUGAGACACGGCCCAAACUCCUACGGGAGGCAGCAGUAGGGAAUUUUCGUCAAUGGGGGAAACCCUGAACGAGCAAUGCCGCGUGAGUGAAGAAGGUCUUCGGAUCGUAAAGCUCUGUUGUAAGUGAAGAACGGCUCAUAGAGGAAAUGCUAUGGGAGUGACGGUAGCUUACCAGAAAGCCACGGCUA
RNAcentral lists this ribosomal RNA (493 nucleotides) under uncultured bacterium. RNAcentral's name for it is "bacterial SSU rRNA". It matches the Rfam family "Bacterial small subunit ribosomal RNA", at positions 28 to 499 of the family's 1533-position model. The record is from RNAcentral.